CUCAGAUUGAACGCUGGCGGCAGGCCUAACACAUGCAAGUCGAGCGGAAACGACAACAUUGAAUCUUCGGAGGAUUUGUUGGGCGUCGAGCGGCGGACGGGUGAGUAAUGCCUAGGAAAUUGCCUUGAUGUGGGGGAUAACCAUUGGAAACGAUGGCUAAUACCGCAUAAUGCCUACGGGCCAAAGAGGGGGACCUUCGGGCCUCUCGCGUCAAGAUAUGCCUAGGUGGGAUUAGCUAGUUGGUGAGGUAAUGGCUCACCAAGGCGACGAUCCCUAGCUGGUCUGAGAGGAUGAUCAGCCACACUGGAACUGAGACACGGUCCAGACUCCUACGGGAGGCAGCAGUGGGGAAUAUUGCACAAUGGGCGAAAGCCUGAUGCAGCCAUGCCGCGUGUAUGAAGAAGGCCUUCGGGUUGUAAAGUACUUUCAGUUGUGAGGAAGGGUGUGUAGUUAAUAGCUGCGCAUCUUGAUU
RNAcentral lists this ribosomal RNA (472 nucleotides) under uncultured bacterium. Its description in RNAcentral is "bacterial SSU rRNA". It matches the Rfam family "Bacterial small subunit ribosomal RNA", at positions 23 to 474 of the family's 1533-position model. The record is from RNAcentral.